This is a non-coding RNA of Oryza barthii, 115 nucleotides long. The record is from Rfam. Lineage: Eukaryota; Viridiplantae; Streptophyta; Magnoliopsida; Poales; Poaceae.
UCCUGGCUUAGUUAGGAGGCGCAUACAGAUGGGCAUUUGAUGCCCACUUGGGCCUUUUGAGGGAGCGCCUUGUAAACCAUAAUAUGCGGUGCUCCCCAAGCAGCUCUAGACAUUC